This 329-nucleotide ribosomal RNA is filed under the name uncultured eukaryote. RNAcentral describes it as "partial 18S ribosomal RNA". It matches the Rfam family "Eukaryotic small subunit ribosomal RNA", at positions 1470 to 1796 of the family's 1831-position model. The record is from RNAcentral.
CCCUUAGAUGUCCUGGGCCGCACGCGCGCUACACUGAGUGCCUGAGAUACGAGUCUGCCUGGUCCGGCAAGGUCUAGGUAAUCGCUAAAAGACACAUCAUGCUUGGGAUAGAUUUUUGCAAAUAUUAAUCUUGAACGAGGAAUUCCUAGUAAGCGCAAGUCAACAGCUUGCGUUGAUUACGUCCCUGCCCUUUGUACACACCGCCCGUCGCUACUACUGAUUGGAUGUUUAAGCGAGGUUCUCGAACUGCUAGCGACUUAGCUUCGGUGAGGUCGCAGUGUGGGAAGUGAACCUAGCUUUGGUGUCUAGAGGAAGUAAAAGUCGUAACA